GUAACAAGGUUUCCGUAGGUGAACCUGCGGAAGGAUCAUUACCGAGUGAGGGCCCCUCGCGGCCCAACCUCCCACCCUUGUCUCCAACACCUGUUGCUUCGGCGGGCCCACCGGGGCCACCCGGUCGCCGGGGGACAUCCGUCCCCGGGCCCGCGCCCGCCGAGGCGCUCUGUGAACCCUGAUGAAGAUGGGCUGUCUGAGUGAUAUGAAAAUUGUCAAAACUUUCAACAAUGGAUCUCUUGGUUCCGGCAUCGAUGAAGAACGCAGCGAAAUGCGAUAAGUAAUGUGAAUUGCAGAAUUCCGUGAAUCAUCGAAUCUUUGAACGCACAUUGCGCCCCCUGGCAUUCCGGGGGGCAUGCCUGUCCGAGCGUCAUUUCUGCCCUCAAGCACGGCUUGUGUGUUGGGUGUGGUCCCCCUGGGGACCUGCCCGAAAGGCAGCGGCGACGUCCGUCUGGUCCUCGAGCGUAUGGGGCUCUGUCACUCGCUCGGGAAAGGACCUGCGGGGGUUGGUCACCACCACAUCUUUUUACAAGGUUGACCUCGGAUCAGGUAGGAGUUACCCGCUGAACUUAAGCAUAUCAAUAAGCGGAGGAAAAGAAACCAACCGGGAUUGCCUCAGUAACGGCGAGUGAAGCGGCAAGAGCUCAAAUUUGAAAUCUGGCCCCUUUGGGGUCCGAGUUGUAAUUUGCAGAGGAUGCUUCGGGUGCGGUCCCCGUCUAAGUGCCCUGGAACGGGCCGUCAUAGAGGGUGAGAAUCCCGUCUGGGAUGGGCGGCCGUGCCCGUGUGAAGCUCCUUCGACGAGUCGAGUUGUUUGGGAAUGCAGCUCUAAGUGGGUGGUAAAUUUCAUCUAAAGCUAAAUACUGGCCGGAGACCGAUAGCGCACAAGUAGAGUGAUCGAAAGAUGAAAAGCACUUUGAAAAGAGAGUUAAACAGCACGUGAAAUUGUUGAAAGGGAAGCGUUGUCCACCAGACUCGCCCGGGGGGGCUCAUCCCGCACGUGUGCCGGUGUACUCCUCUCCCGGCGGGCCAGCAUCAGUUUGGGCGGCUGGUGAAAGGCCCCGGGAAUGUAACACCCUCCCGGGGUGCCUUAUAGCCCGGGGGGGCAUGG
RNAcentral lists this small RNA (1108 nucleotides) under Talaromyces purpureogenus. Its description in RNAcentral is "eukaryotic LSU rRNA". The stretch from base 536 to 1108 matches the Rfam family "Eukaryotic large subunit ribosomal RNA", at positions 1 to 577 of the family's 3401-position model. The record is from RNAcentral. Lineage: Eukaryota; Fungi; Ascomycota; Eurotiomycetes; Eurotiales; Trichocomaceae.